CGAGACUUUUGCUUAGAAGAAGCUAAAAGACAAAACUUUCUACAUUUCUUGAAGAAGCAAUCCCUUGAUGUUCUAUCAGAGGGCAUAACAGCUCUGCGUCGAGUUAGUUUCAAUUGUAGCACCAUCUUCUCAAGUUACUCAUUUCACCCCACUGAUCCUACUGUUUCAUUUUCUCGUUCCCUCUUGGGAUUCAAUGUUUCUCAAAG
This 206-nucleotide unclassified non-coding RNA is filed under the name Hevea brasiliensis (rubber tree). The record is from RNAcentral. Lineage: Eukaryota; Viridiplantae; Streptophyta; Magnoliopsida; Malpighiales; Euphorbiaceae.